This 253-nucleotide ribosomal RNA is filed under the name uncultured bacterium. Its description in RNAcentral is "partial 16S ribosomal RNA". It matches the Rfam family "Bacterial small subunit ribosomal RNA", at positions 524 to 776 of the family's 1533-position model. The record is from RNAcentral.
UACGUAGGGGGCGAGCGUUGUCCGGAUUUAUUGGGCGUAAAGAGCGUGUAGGCGGCCAGGUAGGUCUGCUGUGAAAACUCGAGGCUCAACCUCGAGACGUCGGCGGAAACCAUCUGGCUAGAGUCCGGAAGAGGAGAGUGGAAUUCCUGGUGUAGCGGUGAAAUGCGCAGAUAUCAGGAAGAACACCCGUGGCGAAGGCGGCUCUCUGGGACGGUACCGACGCUGAGACGCGAAAGCGUGGGGAGCGAACAGG